UCCCGUCCUGGAGAGGGGGCCGGCUCCCACGGGAGCUUGGUGGGGGCCUUGCGGGAACCCACACUGUCAGUUGCGUCUGCAGACGUCGCCUCCCCUCCCUCCCCCGCCUCUUUGCACCCGCCCUCACCGCACCGGCUGCUUCCUGAGCGGCUGUAUCCUACCGCCCCCCUAACCCCGCUCCUCCGCCAGCAGCAAUUACGCCUAAUGGAAGCUCAGCGUGACGCAGCUCGAGGUUCUAGGCAUCUGAAGCGCUGGCGCUGAGCUCCGGUCCCCAGGGGCUGCUGGGGCCCUGUGUCUCUCUGGACGAGCUGCGGGCUGGAGGCCUCCAAAUGUCACCACCUGCGUCCACAUCACAUUCCAGAAGUCAUCCUACAGCCAGGAGCCUGGAAGCCCUGGGCACGAUGUCUGCAAACGUGAGACCAUUCUGAAACCUGGAGACUUCCCUUUCUGUCCCCUUGCCAGUGCCCCAGAGCACCCGGCUGCCGGAUGAGAAGGGGAGGAAGCUCGAUGUGUGCCAGGAACGUCUCGGAACCAUUCAACAGGAGGCUGUUCUGCCAGAUGCUGCCUUUUGGGGGAGCAGAGCACGGUAAGAGGGGGCUGCUCUUCACAGGGCAGGGUGAGAGUGGGGAGUGCCAGAAGCUCUGCCCUCAGCCUCACGCCUGGCUCUAUCCAAACCAGAGGUCUCUGCAGAACCCAGGAAGGCCUUGGACAGAGGCGAGGGCCCCUGGACAACUUCUGCUUCCCCUCCCGGUUCAGCCAGAUCUGCUGGGUCCAGCCCACACUUCUUCCUGGAAAGAAACAGCACCCAGCCACCCACCAGGCUGCUCCACGUUGGCCCCAGCCAAAGACUAAACCCCAAAGGAGGGAGGCCAGCGACCCUGCAAACAAGGCUCUCAAACCAGCAGCUGGGGAAAGGACACAGGUGGAGGGUGGAGGGCUUGGAUCCCCUUCUGCUGCCCAAGAGGAAGAAAUGAAUCCCCAGAGGCGUGGGUGACCUCUCUAUGCACUCACCCAGCACUUGAGGGCACAGAAUGGGAGCAGGUGAGGCCUGGGCCACAGCUCACUCUGAGGGCUCAGACUUAACUUCAGGGAGCCAAGGAGCAUUUAUUUAUAUCCCUGUUGCCUUCCUGGAGCAUUCAUUCCCCGAGUUUCCACCCAGGAAGUCUCAGCUAUGCCGCAGGAAGCUUUUCGGGUUCAACCUGGCACCAGAGUGUUCACAGGGACAACUGUCAGCCAUAGGAGCCGUAGUAAAGUGUGGUAUUUAUACCCAGUGGAAUGCCACCAUGCCGUCAAGAAUGAUAAACCCGAGUCAUUUGUAAGAACAUGGAUGCACCUUGAGAUCAUAAUGUCAAGUAAAAUAAAUCGGUCACAUAAGCUUAAA
Long non-coding RNA from Cavia porcellus (domestic guinea pig), 1381 nucleotides. RefSeq lists it as uncharacterized. Lineage: Eukaryota; Metazoa; Chordata; Mammalia; Rodentia; Caviidae. The transcript has 4 exons. The record is from RefSeq and is a predicted model, not a curated record.